AUGGCACGAAAAGGAAAUCCAAUUUCGGUAAGACUUGAUCUGAAUCAUAGUUCAGAUCCAAGUCAGUUCUGUGAGGGCGACCGCGAAAGUCACCGAAUGGGUUCGGUCCGUCUUUUCCUGAUCUUUGUUUGUCCCCCCAAAAAGCUGGAAGACCACAGGAAGAAACCCGGGACCAGAGCAUGUCGUGAAAGACGCACACGGGGCGGGCGUGCUUCGACCGUGUCUCCGGGGCACAGUUGA
Molecule: ribosomal RNA, 240 nt
Filed under: Triticum aestivum (bread wheat)
Lineage: Eukaryota; Viridiplantae; Streptophyta; Magnoliopsida; Poales; Poaceae
Description: partial small subunit ribosomal RNA
Source: RNAcentral